Molecule: ribosomal RNA, 491 nt
Filed under: uncultured bacterium
Lineage: Bacteria
Description: partial 16S ribosomal RNA
Rfam family: Bacterial small subunit ribosomal RNA
Source: RNAcentral
AGUGAACGCUGGCGGUAGGCCUAACACAUGCAAGUCGAACGGCAGCACAGUAAGAGCUUGCUCUUACGGGUGGCGAGUGGCGGACGGGUGAGGAAUGCAUCGGAAUCUACUUUUUCGUGGGGAUAACGUAGGGAAACUUACGCUAAUACCGCAUACGACCUACGGGUGAAAGCAGGGGAUCUUCGGACCUUGCGCGAUUGAAUGAGCCGAUGUCGGAUUAGCUAGUUGGCGGGGUAAAGGCCCACCAAGGCGACGAUCCGUAGCUGGUCUGAGAGGAUGAUCAGCCACACUGGAACUGAGACACGGUCCAGACUCCUACGGGAGGCAGCAGUGGGGAAUAUUGGACAAUGGGCGCAAGCCUGAUCCAGCCAUACCGCGUGGGUGAAGAAGGCCUUCGGGUUGUAAAGCCCUUUUGUUGGGAAAGAAAAGCAGCAGGUUAAUACCCCGCUGUUCUGACGGUACCCAAAGAAUAAGCACCGGCUAACUUCGUG